CACAGAUUUUGGUAAUGAUUCAUAAGAUAGAUGAGUGGAGAAUAUUCUUGGAGGAGAUAUUGUUUUGAGAUCAGGAACAAAAUCUUUGUUGAAAUAAAGGUCUAACUCCCAAAAGGGAACAAGUUCGUGUGGAUUUUUUGUGAGCAAUGGAUGAUUGCUAUGAAUAUUUGGAUAUUUGUUGCGGUUUAUCAAAUCAAAAGACAAUGCUUUGAGCCAAGUGGUACCUGAUUUAGGAGAAGUGACUAAGAGAAUAUCAGUAUCAAGGGCUUGAAAGUGCUUUUGACAAGAUAUAACAGCUUGAAGAAACUCUGGAGCAAACCAAAAUCCUUGAUAUUGAUGUAAAUGGAUUCCAUUCCAACAUUUUUCCGAUGGCAAUGUGGUUAACAAUUCCUCACAUUCUUCGCCUAAGUCAUAUUCUUGCAUGUAUUUUGGUACAAGAGUUUUUUCACUUAAUUUUUCCAUGGUGAAUAGUAUAACUCAGGUGAUAAUAUUGUGGGUUGAAAUCAAGAUACAAUUGUUUAUAUAUAUAUAUAUAUAUAUAUAUAUAUAUAUAUAUAUAUAUAUAUAGAGAGAGAGAGAGAGAGAGAGUUUAUAAUUUUAUUUUAUAAAAAAAUUAUUUAAUUAAUUUUUAUUUAUUUAAUAUAAAAUAUAUUUUAUUUGUGUUGUAAGAUUUGUUGNCUUCUUGAGAAAAUGGACACUCCAAAAACUUAGCAAUUUCUUUCAAAUAAAAAUAUGGCUUCAUUUUCAUUUCUUCAUAUUUCAAGAACAUUACCUUGUUUGAACUUUCCAAGCUUUUCUUCCAAUAUCCUAAUACAUGCUCCCAAAAAGGUCCAAAAGGACACACUCCUCGACAAAAACACUCAAAAGCCUCUUCUAAUGGAAGUGUUCCAUUCCUUUUUGAUCUAACAUUGCUUAUGAAAUGCCAAAAUGAAACAAAAACAUCUUUAGGAUCUCUACAUAGAUACAAAACUUUGCAAGUUGAGUCUUUCACAGAUUUUGGUAAUGAUUCAUAAGAUAGAUGAGUGGAGAAUAUUCUUGGAGAAGAUAUUGUUUUGAGAUCAGGAACAAAAUCUUUGUUGCAGUAAAGGUCUACCUCCCAAAAGGGAACAAGUUCGUGUGGAUUUUUUGUGAGCAAAGGAUGAUUGCUAUGAAUAUUUGGAUAUUUGUUGCGGUUUAUCAAAGCAAAA
Molecule: long non-coding RNA, 1187 nt
Filed under: Lathyrus oleraceus (garden pea)
Lineage: Eukaryota; Viridiplantae; Streptophyta; Magnoliopsida; Fabales; Fabaceae
Description: Pisum sativum (pea) long non-coding RNA (PSAT_LNC037130)
Source: RNAcentral